This 678-nucleotide ribosomal RNA is filed under the name uncultured Staphylococcus sp. RNAcentral describes it as "bacterial SSU rRNA". It matches the Rfam family "Bacterial small subunit ribosomal RNA", at positions 61 to 721 of the family's 1533-position model. The record is from RNAcentral. Lineage: Bacteria; Bacillati; Bacillota; Bacilli; Caryophanales; Staphylococcaceae.
GUCGAGCGAACGGACGAGAAGCUUGCUUCUCUGAUGUUAGCGGCGGACGGGUGAGUAACACGUGGAUAACCUACCUAUAAGACUGGGAUAACUUCGGGAAACCGGAGCUAAUACCGGAUAAUAUUUUGAACCGCAUGGUUCAAAAGUAAAAGACGGUCUUGCUGUCACUUAUAGAUGGAUCCGCGCUGCAUUAGCUAGUUGGUAAGGUAACGGCUUACCAAGGCAACGAUGCAUAGCCGACCUGAGAGGGUGAUCGGCCACACUGGAACUGAGACACGGUCCAGACUCCUACGGGAGGCAGCAGUAGGGAAUCUUCCGCAAUGGGCGAAAGCCUGACGGAGCAACGCCGCGUGAGUGAUGAAGGUCUUCGGAUCGUAAAACUCUGUUAUUAGGGAAGAACAUAUGUGUAAGUAACUGUGCACAUCUUGACGGUACCUAAUCAGAAAGCCACGGCUAACUACGUGCCAGCAGCCGCGGUAAUACGUAGGUGGCAAGCGUUAUCCGGAAUUAUUGGGCGUAAAGCGCGCGUAGGCGGUUUUUUAAGUCUGAUGUGAAAGCCCACGGCUCAACCGUGGAGGGUCAUUGGAAACUGGAAAACUUGAGUGCAGAAGAGGAAAGUGGAAUUCCAUGUGUAGCGGUGAAAUGCGCAGAGAUAUGGAGGAACACCAGUGGCGAAGG